UGGGGAAUAUUGCACAAUGGGCGAAAGCCUGAUGCAGCGACGCCGCGUGGGGGAUGAAGGCCUUCGGGUUGUAAACUCCUUUUAGUAGGGAAGAAGCGUAAGUGACGGUACCUGCAGAAAAAGCGCCGGCUAACUACGUGCCAGCAGCCGCGGUAAUACGUAGGGCGCAAGCGUUGUCCGGAAUUAUUGGGCGUAAAGAGCUCGUAGGCGGCUUGUCACGUCUGCUGUGAAAUCCCAACGCUUAACGUUGGGCGUGCAGUGGGUACGGGCAGGCUAGAGUGCGGUAGGGGUGACUGGAAUUCCUGGUGUAGCGGUGGAAUGCGCAGAUAUCAGGAGGAACACCGAUGGCGAAGGCAGGUCACUGGGCCGCAACUGACGCUGAGGAGCGAAAGCAUGGGGAGCGAACAGG
This 409-nucleotide ribosomal RNA is filed under the name uncultured bacterium. RNAcentral describes it as "bacterial SSU rRNA". It matches the Rfam family "Bacterial small subunit ribosomal RNA", at positions 355 to 776 of the family's 1533-position model. The record is from RNAcentral.